Cygnus atratus (black swan) is the source of this 2232-nucleotide long non-coding RNA. RefSeq lists it as uncharacterized. The record is from RefSeq and is a predicted model, not a curated record. NCBI's taxonomy places the organism in Eukaryota, Metazoa, Chordata, Aves, Anseriformes, Anatidae. The transcript is spliced from 3 exons.
GGAAUGGGAAGGGCCCAGGGUACCCAGAGACAGCCACAAACAGGGCAGGAGAAGCAGGGACCCUCCUGGCUUGGUCCUCCUCGGCUGUUCUGUCACCCCUUUCCCUUGGCUCUGGGUGCAGCCGGGACCCUGCAGCGUGCUGUGACCAUCAGCACCUCUCUGCAGAAGACUCCUUGCUGCUGAGUGGUGUGUUGGGCUACGGGAUCUGUUCUGAGAGUGAUCAGAAGAGCUGGAGUCUUGUCUCUGUUCCCAUGCCAAAGGAAGGACAUCAGGAGCUGGAGAAGAAGAGAGUGGCUGCAUGUAAGAAGAAAGCUGGGAGUGGUGUUACCUCGGUAAUGACGCUGGAGCAACAUGACCAGCAGUUUCCAUGGAGCCCAAGUACUUUGGGUUGGCACUGUCUAGCAUCUUCUGUGCUGGGGUUUGCAUGUGGAUUUUUCCCCCAAAGCCUUGACCUGCUACAGGCUGGUGGGCUGCUGUGUAUGGCAUGGUGAUGGCCCUGUGUUUCUGUUAAUUAAUUUUCUGUUAGAAACAUGCACCAAAUUGUUCUCCUGGGGACCCAGAGCCAUAUGUGAGACUUGGGUGACUGUCCAUACCCUUAAAAAAAUGAUUAUGAGCCUGCAUUCACAGUGAAAACAUCCCCACAUCUCCCAAAUCUUUUGAAGGAGAUUUGUGGCUGAGUUGCUGGAGCCAAACAGGUUAAAGGUACCCACUGGUUUACAGCAAUUGUUGUAUGUGCCCCUGUCCCGUCCCUUCACUGAGUUUGGACAAUAAAAUUUUUGCUGCAUUUGCUGGCAGGUAGGCACAUGAGCAAACAAAUCCAGCCAAAUCUUUUUGGAGCAUCCCAGCUUUGUGCCCUGGUGCUGGGUUUCUCAUCCCAUAGCAAAGGGAUGUCUGUCCCUAGGUGAUGCAUCUGUUGUUCCUCACCUGCUGCACUUUAGUAUUCAGCAUUUUUUGCCUUGACAACAGCCAAAGAUGGUUUUAUACUUGCUGGAAACUUUCUCAUAAGGGAUAUUUUAUUUUGCCAUUAGGAGGGAAUUUUGUCCUGCUUUUGUCAAGAUAUAACAGAAAAUUUCUUGUGUGUGUUUGCAACCUCACUGGGAACCAAGAGUGAAGCACUGAGUGAGCAAGAAGAGCAUUUUGAGACAAGGUGCACACCCACAAUACAGUACUGGAUGUCCAAGCAGGCGUGGAAGACCAAGAUAGGCUGAUGCAGCGUAGUCUGCCCAUGGGAAACCUCUCCUUCAGGCCCCAUUGAUUUGGAGUCUCUUGUGCUUUGAAGUCUGCGGGAUCACAGCCCAUUUCAAAAAGCAUUAAUUCUGCCCCUUGCUGAUCCUACUUUUAAAACUUACCAGUGGGCAAAACCCUCUUGCGAAUGUUGGAGACCUCAGGUCUAUAACCACAGCCCUGAGGGGUGAGCUGAGACGCCUGACUGAAGGCACUUUGGUGUCUCAGCUUCCCCAGUCAAUAAAUGGGAAUGAUGCCAUGGGGAAGGGAAGUCUUCCACAUCUGUGAUAGCAAAGGUCAUGAUUAUAGCUAGUCUUCGUAGCUGUCAGCAACUACAUAAAUGUCCAUGGUCCUUUAAAUCCUACUCUCAUUCCCACUUCAACAGACUCUUGAAAGAGGAAUUUAGCAGGUUAAUUGUGUGAAAAUUGAGUGAGAAAUAUCUUAAACCACUGAGCCUCUGAAGCAGCAUGACAGCUUCUAGGAAAGCCAAUCCUGGUGUGGAUUUUUGGACCAGUGCUGGUUCUGAAUAAUUGCUGAGCUGACUACGUCUUCUCUCUGGGUAAAAACAAGCUAAAAUCCUCGAAUAGCCCUCCUCAAAAAGUAACCAAGAACAAGAAGCAAAAUCUUUAACUUUGAACCCAAUGAAUAUUUAGUUUCCUGACUCUUGGGUAAAUAUUAGAUAGAUUCCCAAUUUCAACCUGAAGCAGUUUAUUUGGCUGCUGUUCACAAGUCAGACACAGCAAUAAUCAAGGAAAUCUCGUUUGAUUCAGGUUGGGUAAUAUUGCCUGAGGGAUAACAUCAUUUUCACUUCCACACAUCCAGCACUGGCACAAAAUGGUAUGGACAGGUAUGAAAAAUGCAUCAUGGAUCCUUGGUGCUGAGAUUCCAGCUGAUAGUUUCAUUUUUAUGUAAAUAAUAAUUACCAGUAAAAAUGUUGCUUGAAAAAAGAGAAUGUGAAAAUAAAAACACUGUUGAGUUUGAUAAAGCAAAAUCCUUUGCAGUAUUGCC